RNAcentral lists this long non-coding RNA (574 nucleotides) under Homo sapiens (human). Its description in RNAcentral is "HSALNT0239099". Lineage: Eukaryota; Metazoa; Chordata; Mammalia; Primates; Hominidae. The record is from RNAcentral.
CAGGCACUAUGUGAGGCACCGUAGAUACAUCAGUGAACAAAACAGAUAAAAAUCCCUGUUCUAAAACAGCAUGGUUGUUCCUCAAAAAAUUAAAAAUAGAAUUACCAUAUGAUCCAGCAGUUACACUUCUGGUAUAUGCCCAAAAGAACUGAAAACAGGAUCUCAAAGAGUUAUUUAUACACCCCUGUUUAGAGCAGCAUUAUUCACGAUGGCCAAGAGGUAGAAACAACCGAGGCAUCCAUGGAUGGAUGAAUGGAUAAACAAUAUGUGGGCUGCAGGAGAGCGAAUGAGUGCAGAGUGAAGAGUGGAAAAGCCCCUUACAAAACCAUCAGAUCUCUUGAGAACUCACUCACUAUCACAAGAACAGCAUGGGGGUAACUGCACCCAUGAUUCAAUUACCUCCCACCAGGUCCCUCCCACAACACAAGGGGAUUAUGGGAACUACAAUUCAAGAUGAGAUUUGGGUGGGGACACAGCCAAACCAUAUCAACAGGUUCAUUCAUUAUACUAUUAUUUUAAAACUUUUUGUAUAUAAACCAAAACAGCCAGGGGUGAGAACCUCAGAGCCAGCCAC